UAACACAAGAGUUUGAUCAUGGCUCAGAUUGAACGCUGGCGGCAGGCCUAACACAUGCAAGUCGAGCGGAAACG
This 74-nucleotide ribosomal RNA is filed under the name Salinivibrio siamensis. RNAcentral's name for it is "partial 16S ribosomal RNA". It matches the Rfam family "Bacterial small subunit ribosomal RNA", at positions 1 to 74 of the family's 1533-position model. Lineage: Bacteria; Pseudomonadati; Pseudomonadota; Gammaproteobacteria; Vibrionales; Vibrionaceae. The record is from RNAcentral.